UGUCAUGAAAUCUGGGUGUGACAUCUAUCACCCCACUGAUUACUAGUUGACCCCACUGAUUACUAGUUGACCCCACUGAUCACCGUUGAUUCAGCUGAUCUGGCUAGAUGGGUGUUUCCUUCCUCCUUCACCAUUCCAUAUGAGUCCCUACUGAAGCUGUAUGUUUGGUUGAAGAGAACAGCCAUCCCUGAUAAAGGAGGACCACAGCUGAAUUCUUCCAGAUGUAUAAAAAGAGCUGGUAGCAAUCCUACUAAAAGUAUUACAAAAAAUUGAGGAGGAAGGACCCCUCCCUAACUCAUU
This 300-nucleotide small nuclear RNA is filed under the name Cebus imitator (Panamanian white-faced capuchin). RNAcentral's name for it is "7SK RNA (ENSCCAG00000010053.1)". It matches the Rfam family "7SK RNA". From Rfam's summary of the family: 7SK was discovered as an abundant small nuclear RNA in the mid-70s but a possible function has only recently been suggested. Two independent studies have found that 7SK RNA binds the CDK9/cyclin T complex (known as elongation factor P-TEFb). P-TEFb activates transcription by phosphorylating the C-terminal domain of RNA polymerase II. The record is from Rfam by way of RNAcentral. Lineage: Eukaryota; Metazoa; Chordata; Mammalia; Primates; Cebidae.